CACAGCAGGACUGGCUAUCCUUAAAUCUUGUUCAAAUUUAUAAUAAAUUGACAGGCCUUGGUUACAUUGGAAUCUCUGGCAUAUUAAUUGUUAUGUAAAAAUUCAUAGUAUUUCUUGCAUAGAUGUCAUUAACUUGUAUGAAGUGCAUUUCAAAUUAUCUAAUUGUUAUUCAACUGGUAAUGCUAAGUGCCAAAUUCACUUAGCAUAUGAGAUGCUGAGUAGAAGGUCUCAUGUACUGUACUAUGAUGACCAUUUCUGAGUUAUGUUUGGUAAAUCAGCAUAUUCCAGUCCCUCUUCUACUAAUGCAACUAUGAUUCAUAUGGAAAAAUCACCACAAUAAGGAUUUAAAUCCCAUUUUGUAGAGGGUACCAACAGGUGACACUGUAAAUGAAGUCAUAAGCUCUGAUUAGUGAUCAUUAAGUCCAUUUUUCUCUGAAUAAUCUAGUCAAAAGUCAUUAUGGCUUAUGGCAAGAUCUGAACCUUGGAAAUCAUUAUAAGAUUCCAGUAUCCAACUGACUUUAGGGCAAUAUUCCUUAUGUAUUCAUGUAAAAGAACCCUUCUAUCGUCAGAUGCAUGUGAGGAAGUAACAACACAGUGGUAAGGAUUCAAGUACCACAGACUACCAAAUGAGGUUGAUGGGCAAUCACAGAGCUUGACAUAUACUGUUAAGUUCUAGACAGCAAAUGAGAAUGCCAGACAUAAAAAUUCAGACAAUGAGCAUCAAUUGACGUUAACCAUCAUAGGAAUAAUACUCUUAUAGCAUUGUUCUAAAAACAGAUGUUUUCAUUUAGGGUAUCUAUAUUGGCUGUAAAGACAUAGCAUUUUGAAGGUCAACAAACUUUAACAGUGCUUUAUCACUUUCUAAGUGUCCCUUUAGACCUUAUUCUACUCGUAGCCCCAUAUGCUACACAUACAGUCGGCGCCAAAGGUACUGGCGCGAAAAUCGUGCGCUAAUAUCCGUGACGAAUUAUCAAAGACACCCAAGGAAAACAACAAUUGUAUUGGCGUGCAAUCGUGAGGUAGAAUGGGCAGAGCUUAAGUCCCACACAGAGAAUAUAGGUCUCAGUUGCCUGCUGUGUUUCAUGGUGGAAACAUCAAUUUUUUUUGUCACGGAACCCACGUGUUUUUCCUACUGUAGCUUGCAAAACGUGUCUGUUAGUACAAUCCAACGCCGCCUCAAGGACAACCUCUGCUAUACGCAUCAGGCGCCACAACAUAAAUGCAUUCUAACUGAGAAACAGAAGCAAAAACGUGUUAAAUUUUGUAGGAAAUAUCUGAAUUGGGACAGUGAGAAGUGAAAGAAGGUAUUGUGGAGUGAUGAGGCUGCGUUUUAUGUUACUGGGAACCAAGGAGGUAAGGUGAGGCUACCAGGGUGCGGACCUGUACCAUCCCAAGCACACACAGGGGACAGUCAAGCACCUUGAUAGUGUCAUGGUAUGGGGUGCCUUUGGGUACCAUGGCAAGGGCAAGCUUGUUGUGUUGCCUAAAACAUUACAGUGAACAAGGAAAGAUAUUUGGAACUGUUGUGUGACCAUCUGGAGGAUUGCUUUGAUGCAUGCAAGAGUGAGGUGUUCAUGCAGGAUGGAGGCCCUGCACACACAGCAAAAUUAGUCAAGGAAUGGUUUGAGUUUGUAGUAGUGGACUACAUACAGGACUGGCCUGGUAAUAGUCCAGACUUUAAUCCAAUUGAAAAUCUUUGGGGACUCAUAAAGAGACGGCAACGAGGAAGUAACACUGCAACUCUGCCAAAGCUCGUGAAGGAGAUUCAGGAUAUCCGGGACAAUUUGAAACCCUCCAUGCUCCAAAGACUUGCUGAAUCCAUUCCUCGACGCCUGGAGAGUUGUCUCAAGAGAAAAGGACUCCCCACAAAUUAUUAGAGGCUGGUAGGUUCCCCUUAAAUAUUUCUAUUAAUUAUUUUUCUAAGUGUUACAAGAGAAAAACGUACCGCACCAAUACCUGUGGCGCCGACUGUAAAUAUUGAUUACUAUUGAAAAUAUAUAAAAAUGUGUACCAAUGAAUGGUUCACCUUACAAUAAGUAAUUAUAGGAUAAAAUACAAUUAACAAUAACAAUAAUAAUGCCACUUGAAUAGCAUCAAGAACUAGAAUGCCUAAUUCAUCAAGUAAAAAAUCAUCAUCAAUAUCAGUUACACACAAUAAUUUCUUAUAAAACUGUAUACAUAAUGCUGAUAAAAAUUUUAAUAGAAUAAGAUCUUCACAAGAAUUACUUCAUGAUCUUGUCUGAAACUGAAUAGGAAAAUACAGAUUAUGAAAUUGUAGGAGAGAGAGAGAGAGAGAGAGAGAGAGAGAGAGAGAGAGAGAGAGAGAGAGAGAGAGAGAGAGAGAGAGAGAGAGAGAGGGAGAGAGAGAGAGAGAGAGAGAGAGAGAGAGAGAGAGA
Long non-coding RNA from Portunus trituberculatus (swimming crab), 2396 nucleotides. RefSeq lists it as uncharacterized. The transcript is spliced from 2 exons. The record is from RefSeq and is a predicted model, not a curated record. NCBI's taxonomy places the organism in Eukaryota, Metazoa, Arthropoda, Malacostraca, Decapoda, Portunidae.